UCCAAUUGACUGGGAGCAUAAUCAUCUUCAUCAGCUCUCCGAUGAGGCGAUAGUCUCAGAGCGUCAUCUUGAUGCACAUUUCGAGCGUGACGUACCCCUUUUUAGGAGACUUUGAGGGGACAUACUCCAUAAUAAAGGUGGGGGGCAUCGGUGCCUUUCUUCGGCUGGUGCUCGUGAUGGCUGAAGAAGUCCGACGCAAAGCAACCCAUAUGAUAUCCGAUCUACUUUGCAUUGGCAAGGCCUAUACCAUAGCAGCAAGCUUAGUUGGUGCCUCGCCGACAAUGACGACAUCGUCGUCUUCCUCGAUGG
RNAcentral lists this long non-coding RNA (309 nucleotides) under Elaeis guineensis (African oil palm). RNAcentral's name for it is "long non-coding RNA (EGUI_LNC032436)". Lineage: Eukaryota; Viridiplantae; Streptophyta; Magnoliopsida; Arecales; Arecaceae. The record is from RNAcentral.